This 570-nucleotide ribosomal RNA is filed under the name Candidatus Bathyarchaeota archaeon. RNAcentral's name for it is "partial 23S ribosomal RNA". It matches the Rfam family "Archaeal large subunit ribosomal RNA", at positions 2415 to 2987 of the family's 2987-position model. Lineage: Archaea; Thermoproteati; Candidatus Bathyarchaeota. The record is from RNAcentral.
AGUGCGAGGGCAAAAGCUUGUCUAACUGUAUUCUGAACAGCAAAGAAUGCAGAGGCGAAAGCCGGGCUUAGUGAACCCACAUGCUCUUUUAAUAGGAGCUGUGUCUGAUAGAAAAGUUACCCCAAGGAUAACAGGCUUGUCGCGCCCGAUAGUCCGAAUUGACGGCGCGGUUUGGUACAUCGCUGUCGGCUCUCCCUAUCCUGCGCGUGCAGAAGCGUGCAAGGGUGUCGGAGUUCACGCAUUAAAAGGGAUCGUUAGCUGGGUUAAGAACGUCGUGAGACAGUUUGUAUGAUAUCUACUAGGUGUGUUAUUGUCUGAGUGGAACAAGUUUCUAGUACGAGAGGAACCAAGCUUGGGUGCCUCUGGUGAGCAGUUGUCAAUUGGCAGGCUGCAUAGCUACGCACUAAACGGAUAAGAGCUGAAUGCAUCUAAGCUCGAAGUCGUCCGCAAAACGAGACAAUUAAAGCCGUCAAAGAAGAUGACGUUGAUAGAGUUGUUGUGUAAGAUUCAAGUUUUUUACGAAACGAGAAUUUCAGCAUACAACUACUAAAAGCUUCAAUUGUAGUAUUU